AGCAUGUUCUAGAGCAUGAGAACAAAGAGAUGACUGAAAACAGUGUUUGUCCUCAUAAAGUCCCUAGUCCAGCAACAGAACUCAGUACCAGGUGGCCCGUGGCUGUCCGUCCCUCUCAGCCCAUUUGGAGGUGACUCUUGCUUCUCUCUUGAUGGAUCAGCUUUCACUGCCCACCCCCAGGGACAUGACCAAAGAGGUUCCUCCUCUCUACCCCUAAGCGGUGAGUCCAUAGGCUCCCUGGAGAGUUCAGUCAUCUCUUCUGGAGCAAGUCACCUAGCAGCAGUGAACCUCCAUUUCUUUAUCUCAAAAAUGGGAGUCAAUAAUCCCUGCCUUAUUGAUGUCACUGGAUUGUCAUAAAAAUGACAUCAUUAUGUAAAGGUCUUUGUAACCUGCCACGUACUCUAUAAUGAUGAGAUACUCCUUAUAUUAAACCAAAGAAAGAAAUGACUCUGCUAAAGAUGGAAUUUUAGACAUCAAAUUAGAACUGAGAGACACUCAAAGAUUCUGGACUGUCUUCUGAGCAGAGAAUAAAAAGUAGCUAUCAUCUGCCCACCACAGACAUGAAAAAACAAGAAAGACAGUUUGCAGAGAGGAGAGAAUGAAACAGGACUGUAGAGAGAAGCAGAGACAAGAAAUGGAUCUUCCCAUCUCGUCAUGAGCUUCCACUUCCAGACCCUGUACUCAGUGGAUCAGCUGGCACCACGCAGAU
This 709-nucleotide long non-coding RNA is filed under the name Homo sapiens (human). Its description in RNAcentral is "HSALNT0342721". The record is from RNAcentral. Lineage: Eukaryota; Metazoa; Chordata; Mammalia; Primates; Hominidae.